UGGGGAAUAUUGGGCAAUGGGCGAAAGCCUGACCCAGCAACGCCGCGUGAAGGAAGAAGGUUUUCGGAUUGUAAACUUCUGUCCUCAGGGAAGAAGGACGUGACGGUACCUGAGGAGGAAGCCCCGGCUAACUACGUGCCAGCAGCCGCGGUAAUACGUAGGGGGCGAGCGUUGUCCGGAAUGACUGGGCGUAAAGGGCGCGUAGACGGCUGUCUAAGUCUGGAGUGAAAGUCCUGUUUUCAAGGCGGGAAUUGCUUUGGAGACUGGAUGGCUUGAGUGCGGAAGAGGUAAGGGGAAGUCCCAGUGUAGCGGUGAAAUGCGUAGAGAUUGGGAGGAACACCAGUGGCGAAGGCGACUUACUGGGCCGUAACUGACGUUGAAGCGCGAAAGCGUGGGGAGCGAACAG
This 406-nucleotide ribosomal RNA is filed under the name uncultured bacterium. RNAcentral describes it as "bacterial SSU rRNA". It matches the Rfam family "Bacterial small subunit ribosomal RNA", at positions 355 to 775 of the family's 1533-position model. The record is from RNAcentral.